This 74-nucleotide transfer RNA is filed under the name Candidatus Moraniibacteriota bacterium. Its description in RNAcentral is "Candidatus Moranbacteria bacterium (groundwater metagenome) tRNA-Gln". It matches the Rfam family "tRNA". From Rfam's summary of the family: Transfer RNA (tRNA) molecules are approximately 80 nucleotides in length. Their secondary structure includes four short double-helical elements and three loops (D, anti-codon, and T loops). Further hydrogen bonds mediate the characteristic L-shaped molecular structure. tRNAs have two regions of fundamental functional importance: the anti-codon, which is responsible for specific mRNA codon recognition, and the 3' end, to which the tRNAs corresponding amino acid is attached (by aminoacyl-tRNA synthetases). tRNAs cope with the degeneracy of the genetic code in two manners: having more than one tRNA (with a specific anti-codon) for a particular amino acid; and 'wobble' base-pairing, i.e. permitting non-standard base-pairing at the 3rd anti-codon position. Lineage: Bacteria; Candidatus Moraniibacteriota. The record is from RNAcentral.
UCGGAGAUCGUCUAACGGUAGGACAACAGACUCUGACUCUGUUAAUUGGGGUUCGAAUCCCUAUCUCCGAACAA